AGUCGAACGAGCGAGAGAGAGCUUGCUUUCUCGAGCGAGUGGCGAACGGGUGAGUAACGCGUGAGGAACCUGCCUCAAAGAGGGGGACAACAGUUGGAAACGACUGCUAAUACCGCAUAAGCCCACGGGCCGGCAUCGACCAGAGGGAAAAGGAGCAAUCCGCUUUGAGAUGGCCUCGCGUCCGAUUAGCUAGUUGGUGAGGUAACGGCCCACCAAGGCAACGAUCGGUAGCCGGACUGAGAGGUUGAACGGCCACAUUGGGACUGAGACACGGCCCAGACUCCUACGGGAGGCAGCAGUGGGGAAUAUUGCACAAUGGGGGAAACCCUGAUGCAGCGACGCCGCGUGGAGGAAGAAGGUCUUCGGAUUGUAAAUUCCUGUUGUUGAGGAAGAUAAUGACGGUACUCAACAAGGAAGUGACGGCUAACUACGUGCCAGCAGCCGCGGUAAAACGUAGGUCACAAGCGUUGUCCGGAAUUACUGGGUGUAAAGGGAGCGCAGGCGGGAAGACAAGUUGGAAGUGAAAUCCAUGGGCUCAACCCAUGAACUGCUUUCAAAACUGUUUUUCUUGAGUAGUGCAGAGGUAGGCGGAAUUCCCGGUGUAGCGGUGGAAUGCGUAGAUAUCGGGAGGAACACCAGUGGCGAAGGCGGCCUACUGGGCACCAACUGACGCUGAGGCUCGAAAGUGUGGGUAGCAAACAGGAUUAGAUACCCUGGUAGUCCACACCGUAAACGAUGAUUACUAGGUGUUGGAGGAUUGACCCCUUCAGUGCCGCAGUUAACACAAUAAGUAAUCCACCUGGG
Molecule: ribosomal RNA, 804 nt
Filed under: uncultured bacterium
Lineage: Bacteria
Description: bacterial SSU rRNA
Rfam family: Bacterial small subunit ribosomal RNA
Source: RNAcentral